GAUGAACGCUAGCUACAGGCUUAACACAUGCAAGUCGCGGGGCAGCAUGCGGGUUGCUUGCAACGCCUGAUGGCGACCGGCGCACGGGUGAGUAACGCGUAUCCAACCUGCCCUUCACCACGCGAUAACCCGGCGAAAGUCGGACUAAUAACGUAUGCUGUCCAUUGACGGCAUCCUAUUAGGACGAAAGGCUUGGCGGUGGAAGGACGGGGUGGCGUCCUAUUAGCUGGACGGCGGGUUACCGGCCCACCGUGGGUACGAUCGGUAGGGGUUCUGAGAGGAGGGUCCCUCAGAGGGGAACUGGGCAACGGGCCACACUGCUACGGGAGGCAGCAGUGAGGAAUAUUGGUGAAUGGGCGUAAGCCUGAACGAGCCAAGUAGCGUGCAGGAUGACGGCGCUAUGGGUUGUGAACUGCUGUUAUGCGGGGAUAAAGUGGCCCACGUGUGGGCUUUUGCAGGUACCGCAUGAAUAAGGACCGGCUAAUUCCGUG
This 491-nucleotide ribosomal RNA is filed under the name uncultured bacterium. RNAcentral describes it as "partial 16S ribosomal RNA". It matches the Rfam family "Bacterial small subunit ribosomal RNA", at positions 28 to 507 of the family's 1533-position model. The record is from RNAcentral.